This 490-nucleotide ribosomal RNA is filed under the name uncultured bacterium. RNAcentral's name for it is "partial 16S ribosomal RNA". It matches the Rfam family "Bacterial small subunit ribosomal RNA", at positions 30 to 507 of the family's 1533-position model. The record is from RNAcentral.
AUUGAACGCUGGCGGCAGGCCUAACACAUGCAAGUCGAACGGUAACAGGGAUCAGCUUGCUGAUUCGCUGACGAGUGGCGGACGGGUGAGUAAUGUCUGGGAAACUGCCUGAUGGAGGGGGAUAACUACUGGAAACGGUAGCUAAUACCGCAUAACGUCGCAAGACCAAAGAGGGGGACCUUCGGGCCUCUUGCCAUCGGAUGUGCCCAGAUGGGAUUAGCUAGUAGGUGGGGUAACGGCUCACCUAGGCGACGAUCCCUAGCUGGGAUGAGAGGAUGACCAGCCACACUGGAACUGAGACACGGUCCAGACUCCUACGGGAGGCAGCAGUGGGGAAUAUUGCACAAUGGGCGCAAGCCUGAUGCAGCCAUGCCGCGUGUAUGAAGAAGGCCUUCGGGUUAUAAAGUACUUUCAGCGGGGAGGAAGGGAGUAAAGUUAAUACCUUUGCUCAUUGACGUUACCCGCAGAAGAAGCACCGGCUAACUCCGUG